This 1461-nucleotide ribosomal RNA is filed under the name Triticum aestivum (bread wheat). Its description in RNAcentral is "partial small subunit ribosomal RNA". Lineage: Eukaryota; Viridiplantae; Streptophyta; Magnoliopsida; Poales; Poaceae. The record is from RNAcentral.
AUGGCCGUGGUGCAGGCGGCGUCGGUGCUCGGGAGCUUCCCGUUCAGGGCGGCCGUGGUCGCGCUCUGCGUGCUGCUGCUCCCGCUCCUCCCGUCGCCACGGGUGCCUGCGGCGGGGGAGGGGGACGGCGGCGGCGGCGGGGGCGGGGGCCAGGCGUUCUUGGCCAAGGUGUGGGAGCUGCUGCACCUGCUCUUCGUCGGGAUCGCCGUGUCCUACGGGCUCUUCAGCCGGAGGAAUGACGGUGGGGGGCGGGUCGAGAAGGAUGCUGCCGCGGCGGCCGGGAAGGCGGACGCGAGGUACGUCUCGCGGAUGUUCCAGGGCGACCUCGUGUUCGACGAUGAUGGCGACGACGGCGUGCCCGACAGCCCCGCUGGCGGCGGGGCGCGGUCCUGGAGCGCGCUGCACUAUCCUGAGGAGCCUGUGGUCAUGGUGGCGGCAGGCGGGGGCGGGCGGAGCCACACCGCGGCCCAGCAGGCGCCACUGUCGCUGCCCGUCCGGGCCCUGAGGCCGCAGGACUCCGGCGCGCCGGGACACGGCAACGGCGAGUCGCGUGCGCAGCCACGCGCCCAUGACACCGUGCUCCCUUCGCCGAUCCCGUGGCGGUCACGGUCCGGGAGGUUCGACGCGCCACCGACUCCGAGCAGCCCCGCACCGUCGCCGAAGAGGCUCUCGCCCGCGUCGUCCAUGUCCGACGAGACACUGGCCAAGGCCAGCGAGGAGCACGCCACCGUCCCCAAGCGGAGGAGCACGUAUAAGUCUUCCAUUUCCUCCCUACCGCCCCCGCCGCCUCCGCCACCCCCGCCGUUCCUUGUCCACAGUUACCACCCUGCGGCCGACCGCCGGACCACUGCGGCGAAGAGCUUCAAGGAGGAGCUGCAGGAUCACAGCACAAGAGGCAGAGGAGACCACGACCAUUACUCGCAGCAGAGUUCGCAGAGCUUCAACAGUUCAUCUACUUACACCAACUCCUCGCCGGCGACGCCAAGAAGCUCUUUCGAUGGCUCCUCCUCGUCGCCGUCAUCGCCGUCAGUCGGUAGAUCAGUGAGAACAAUCAGGCCAAGAGAAGGGAUCCAACCCAAAAUCCAAGAAGUGACCGACGAAGACGAAGCCGGCAAUGCACCGGAUAGCUCGCAUGGAUCAGAAGAGCCAUAUGGAUACAGAGAGUACCAAGCCGUCCCAAGGUUCCAGUACGAGAGGAGGAGCAGCGACCCAAUCCUGGGCAUAGUGGCGGUCUCCUCGGACGAGACCGAGAGCAGCGACGACGACGAGGACGGCGUUGACGCCUACUCCACGAGGACGAACUCGCCGAGGGAGUCGCCGCCGACGCCGGAGGUGGACGAGAACGAGGUGGACAAGAAGGCGGAGGAGUUCAUCGCAAGGUUCAGAGAGCAGAUCAGGCUGCAGAGGAUCGCGUCCAUCAAGAAGUCUGCCGGACCCCGCGGCCUCAAGCACGGCAAGUAG